UACGUAGGUGGCAAGCGUUAUCCGGAAUUACUGGGCGUAAAGCGCACGCAGGCGGUCUUGUAAGUUUGACGUGAAAGCUCCCGGCUUAACUGGGAGAGGUCGUUGAAGACUGCAAGACUUGAGGAAAUGAGAGGGGUGUAGAAUUCCCGGUGUAGUGGUGGAAUGCGUAGAUAUCGAGAGGAACACCAGUGGCGAAGGCGAGUCUCUGGACGACUCCUGACACUGAGGCACGAAAGCUAGGGGAGCAAACAGG
RNAcentral lists this ribosomal RNA (253 nucleotides) under uncultured bacterium. RNAcentral describes it as "partial 16S ribosomal RNA". It matches the Rfam family "Bacterial small subunit ribosomal RNA", at positions 524 to 776 of the family's 1533-position model. The record is from RNAcentral.